GCCGUUGUGGUGUAGGGUGGUUCGCACAUCUGGUUGAAGCCCAGAAGGCAUCGUUCGACUCGAUCGGCGGCACCA
RNAcentral lists this transfer RNA (75 nucleotides) under Bacteroidota bacterium. RNAcentral's name for it is "Bacteroidetes bacterium (permafrost metagenome) tRNA-Phe". Lineage: Bacteria; Pseudomonadati; Bacteroidota. The record is from RNAcentral.